Molecule: ribosomal RNA, 1438 nt
Filed under: Automolius sp. NLG-2014
Lineage: Eukaryota; Metazoa; Arthropoda; Insecta; Coleoptera; Scarabaeidae
Description: partial 16S ribosomal RNA
Source: RNAcentral
AAUUAAAAAAAUUUGGCGGUAUUUUAGUCUUUUUAGAGGAACCUGUCCUAUAAUUGAUAUUCCACGAUUAAUUAUACUUAUUUUAAAGGUUUAUAUAUCGUCGUAGAUUGAAUGUUUUAAAAGAAUUUUAAAUGUUCAAGAUUUAUUAUAUAAAGAAAAAUCAGAUCAAGGUGUAGCGUAUAAAUAAGGAGAGGUGGGUUACAAUAAAUUUAUUUUGAUGGUUAAAGUAAUUAAAAUUAUUUUAUAAAUUGGAUUUGAAAGUAAUAUAAUUUAGUUAAAUUAUAUGAUUAUAGCUCUAGAAUAUGUACAUAUCGCCCGUCGCUCCCAUUUGAAGGUGGGAUAAGUCGUAACAAAGUAGGUGUACUGGAAAGUGUACCUAGAAUGUCAAAUUAGAGCUUGUUAUAAAGUGUUUUAGUUACAUUAAAAAGUUAGUUGUGUGAAUCAAUUUAAUUUGAUUAAUUAAAUAAUUAUAAUUUAAAUUUAAAAAAAAAAUUUUUUUGAUUUAGUAUUUUAUUAGAAUAAUUUUGUAAUAAUGAUAGUUUAUUUGUAUAGAGUUAGAUUUUGAAAUAUAUUGAUAUUUUAUUAUGUAAAAAAAGAAUUAAAUUUUUGUACCUUGUGUAUCAGGGUUUAUUAAAAAUAGUUUAAAUAUUUAGUAUUCUCGAAUUAAAAAGAGCUAAUAAUUUAUAUAUUUAAUUGUAAAAUAAAUUUUUAUAAUAAGUUAUUAGAAAUGAAACGUUAGUCGUUUUUUAAGAUAUCUAGUUUUUUAAGAAAUAAAUUUAAUUUAGUUAUUUAAAGAUAUAAUGUUAAUUGAUUAGUAUUAUAUUUUAAAUAAUAAAAAUUUUAAGGGAUAAGCUUUGAAAUUUAAAGUUAAAAAUUAUAUUUAUAUUAAAAUAAAUAGAAUUAGAAGUUUUUAUUGUUUAAUAUGUUAUAAUAAAUUUUUGUGUUAAUAUAAUUUAUAUAGAUUUUAAUUUUUUUAUUAAAAUAAUUUAUUUAAUUUUAUUAUAUAUGUAAUAAUGAUGAAAUUAGUAUAAUUUAAUUUAUUUUUAAGUUAUUAUUUAAAGGUUAGGUUAAGGAAUUCGGCAAAAUAAUUUUUCGCCUGUUUAUUAAAAACAUGUCUUUUUGAUUAUAAUUUAAAGUCUAAUCUGCCCACUGAUUAUUUAAAUGGCCGCGGUAUUUUGACUGUGCAAAGGUAGCAUAAUAAUUAGUUUUUUAAUUGAAAGCUGGAAUGAAUGAUUGGACGAGAGAAUUUCUGUCUCAAUUUAAUUUAAUUAGAAUUUUAUUUUUAAGUUAAAAAGCUUAAGUAUAAUUAAAAGACGAGAAGACCCUAUAGAGUUUUAUUAUUUUUUUUUAUAUUAAGAAUAUAGAAUUAUUUUUUUGUUAUAAUUGAAAUAAUUAAGUUGGGGUGACUAAAAAAUUAAAAGAACUUUUUUAUAUUUAA